Molecule: long non-coding RNA, 7676 nt
Filed under: Citrus sinensis (sweet orange)
Lineage: Eukaryota; Viridiplantae; Streptophyta; Magnoliopsida; Sapindales; Rutaceae
Description: long non-coding RNA (CSIN_LNC001885)
Source: RNAcentral
GGCCAGAAGCACAUGAUUUUAUCUCCAUCACUGGCCAUGGAGUUAAAGCCACGGUUCAUAACAAGGAAAUAAUGGUGGGAAACAAGAGCUUGAUGUUGGAUAAUAACAUUGACAUACCACCUGAUGCUGAAGAAAUGCUAGCAGAAACAGAGGGAAUGGCUCAAACCGGGAUCUUAGUAUCUAUUGACGGGGAAUUGACUGGAGUUUUAGCCAUAUCCGAUCCACUGAAACCAGGUGCUCAUGAAGUCAUUUCCAUUCUAAAGUCGAUGCAAGUGAGAAGCAUCGUGGUGACAGGCGACAACUGGGGAACUGCCAAAUCCAUUGCCAAUGAAGUUGGAAUUGAAGAUGUUAUAGCUGAAGCCAAACCUGAACAGAAAGCAGAGAAAGUGAAGGAGUUACAGGUACAAUGCAAAUUAUCUGCAUCUCAUAUAUGCAUGUUUCGCACUUGUAUCGAUUACAUACAAGAUUCAUUAUCUUGUUGACAGGCUUUAGGAUAUACUGUGGCAAUGGUGGGAGAUGGCAUCAAUGACUCGCCAGCACUUGUAGCAGCAGAUGUUGGAAUGGCAAUUGGUGCAGGCACGGACAUUGCAAUAGAGGCAGCUGAUAUUGUCCUGAUGAAGAGUAAUUUGGAGGAUGUGAUAACUGCUAUAGACUUGUCGAGGAAAACUUUUUCGCGUAUUCGUCUGAACUACAUUUGGGCUCUGGGUUAUAACCUUUUAGGCAUACCAAUUGCUGCGGGAGCCCUUUUCCCGACUACUGGAUUCCGUUUACCUCCAUGGAUUGCUGGAGCUGCAAUGGCAGCCUCUUCAGUUAGUGUUGUUUGCUGCUCUCUGUUGCUGAAGAAUUACAAGAGGCCUAAGAAGCUGAAUAAUCUUGAGAUUCGUGAAAUUUGUUGGAAAAAUAGCAAAUCAAUAUGUUAUUUUGAGGGCACAUUUUGAGUGGGUCCCACUUAGCGAAAGUGGGAAAUAUUGUGAAGUUCGGGUUCUACUCCGUGAAUACUUCGAAAAUGUAUAUUUAUUUACUCAAAAUGGUGCUUGGGUGAAUGAGAAAUUGUCUCUCAAAGUGUACCCUUGAAGUUGAAAAUUUGAAAGAAAAUGAGAUUUAUCCCAUAAGGGAAAAAUAAGCUAAGGGAUUUGUGUUUAUAUAUUGACACUUAUCAUGCAUGAGCAAGAAUCUCACGCGCACAGAGGGGUGCGAAUCCAAGACCGAUUUGGUUGAAUUCGUGUGUGCCCGUGUUUUUAAUUUCUUUUUUAAGUUUUUUGUAUCAGUUUUACAAUUUUUGAAUUCAAAGGAUUUGUAACCAAGUUCACAAUUUUUUUUUGGGUUGUUAUGCAAUUCAAUUUUUGAAUUCAAUUGGCUGAAUUGAAUUUAAACAAUUCAAUUGGCUGUUACAACAAUUAAAUGGCAUAUAUUGAAUUUGAAAAUUCAAUACUUUGCUAUUGUUAAAUCCUCACGUGUAUAAAAAGGCAGCUUACUCUUCUGUUUUACACACACAGAAACCAGCACACAGAGCACUUAAAAUUUUCUUUCCUCAUUCUUACGUCUGAUUUUCUGAUUGAGUUUGCCGCUGUUGUGGUUCGCCGGAAUUAUUUGUCUGCGCUUGACGGAUAAUUCGUGCUCGUUGUAUCCUGGGAAACAGUUACCAGCAAACCUAAAGCACUGCAGUAGGUGGUAAAUAUGUUUUAAGGACACUGUGUUACAGGCCUCGGGUUUAGUGUUACAGGCCUCGCACUGCAGUAGGUGGUAAAUAUGUUUUAAGGACACUGUGUUACAGGCCUCGGGUUUAUUUUCUUUGUUUUGUUUGAUUUCCAGUUAUUGUUUUUUGCUGCUGUUUAAUUUUAAUUGUUGUCUUGCUGCAGUUUAAUCUGUUAUCAAUUAAUUCCGUGUAAUUAGCUACUGGUUUUAUUUGUUAACUCACUGUUGUUAUUUUACUAACAGAAUUAUGAUAGAGUGAUUUAUGAUGAUGGUUCUUGAUUUAGUGCCCUGUAAUGUACAUAUAUGUUAAGGUGAAAAACACCCUUGAAAUAAGUUAGCCAUCUUAUUCGUAAUGACGAUCUUGGUUAGAGUGGCAGUUUAUGUACAGUCAUUCGGUUUGUUUAUGUAGGACUGUUUAAUGCUAAAUGAAUUUGUGGUUUUUUAUACUCAAGUUGUCGUUUCUUUCGUAAUAGUCUCUUUUGAUCCUCUCUUUUGAUUCUCUCUUUCUCAUUGCAAGACGGUUGGCUGCUUCGGCCCAAUUUUCGAAGACGAAACAGGCUUCAUAUGGUAGAUUUCAAUUUUAGGAAGGAUUAAAUAUAUAAAGUUGUGAGGCAAAUUCAGUUGCAAUAAAAAGUUACAAUAAUACCAACAAAGUGUUGGCUCUACUGGCAAUGGAGUCUCCUUAAGUGGUUUGAUUGGGUUUACUUCCCAGUUCGAGUCGCAGGGAAGUCACCUUUGUUGGGAGAAUCUGUGCCUCCCGAUUCGAGCGGGGACUUCUAAUCUGAGUUGUGGUACGAGCUUAAAGGUGUCUCCCAUAGUUGGGACCCUCCCCAAAAUAUCUCGUGGAUAAGACAAAAAAAAAAGUUACAAUAAUAAUAAAUUCUCUUCAUUUUAAUGUUUUUAUUUCCCCACAUCUUUUAAAAAAAAUCAUGGGGGAUAUCGCAAAAAAAAAAAAAAAGAGUAACUCUGUCGACGAAUCAUCAUGAGCUUUCAUUCCUCUGUCGUCGAAUCAAAAUUGGCGAUCAUGUUGGACUUUCAAAUCAACACUCUGUCGUGGAAUCAUCAUGAGCUUGCAUUACUUCUGCCCUGACGCCAAAUUCUAAUUUACAAAGGAAAGAAAAGGGUAUUCGUAAUGCAAUGAUACGAUGGCCCCCACUCCCCAACCGCACGAGAUUAAAAAUAAUGGUUUUUUUUUUAUAAGUUGAUUAUGAUAAUAAAUUAUCACUUAUAUUAUAUGAGAUUAUUAUUAAUAUUUAUAAUUAAAUUAUCAUUUAUUUUUACAUAAGACUAUUACUGAAACUAAUUUAUAUAUAUUUUAUAUGAAACACUGUCCAUAUUUUUUUAUUAUUUAUAAUAUUUGAGAGAUGUCUACUCCACACACAUUGAUAAGAAAAAAAGACUGACUUUCAAUCAAUUAUAAGUUAUAAUUGGUGAAGGUAGCAACCCAGCUACUCGACGAAUGGUCGAGUGACCCAAUGGCUUUCUUGUUAAGCCUCACUGCCCAACAAAUUUUCAUUUCCAAAUUUAUCCCAUCAUCAAUUUAUGAGUGGAGCUUGCAACGCCCUCAAGAAAUUUUAUUUUUUGUUUUUAUAUUAUUUUUUAUAAAAUAAAAAAUAAAUAUAGGAUUACAAUGAAAAUUUUAAUUUAAUUUUACUAUUAUUUAGAAUGUAUUUAAUUAAGUUAUAAAAAAUAUUUUUUUUAAUAGAACUAUUAUUAAGUAAUUUACUUCUUUAUUAUUUCAAAAUUAUUUUGAUUUUAUCUAUAAAUUAAUUAUAUCAUAUAUGAGGAUUAAAAAAUAUUUAAGGGUUCAUAAUUUCUAAAUAUAUCUCAGUUUAGUUAAAUUCAUAUUUUUCCUUUUAUGUAAAGUGUCAUUUUUAUUUUAAAUAGAUGAUAUUUAGAUAAAGUCGUAAAACAUUGGUAGAAAAGUGAUAAAAUCAAUGCCAACCUAAUCUUUAUCAGUAAGGUGAAUUUUUUAUUUCUAAGGGUUGGCGUCACAGAGCAAAAUGGCAUGGUCGCAUUUGGAGCAUGAUGGGUAGGGAUGUCAAAAAUUCCCACAGAGAUGGAGGCUUUAAGGAAAAUUUAUGAAUACAUUUAAAAUUUAAUUUGUAAUUGUGUAAAUAACAACAACAACAACACCAAUAAUAAUAACAUCUAAUAUAAACACUUCAAGAUUGUCGAAGAUAACUUUGCUGAUAAUUUAUACAAUGUAACUUUUAUGGAUUUGUUUAACAUUGAAAUUCUAUUUUUGUUUAAUUUCAUAGACUGUAUUGUAAUUUUGAUGAUAUGAACUUAGUUUGUUGGAAAUAAUUUUAAUUUUUUAAAUUUAUUUUUAUACUUUUGUGUUGCUAGUACGAUUUUAUACUUUUACAAAAUAAUAUAAUUAAAUUAAGUUUAGAAAAUAAAGUUUCAGUUAUUAAAAGAUUGCGUAUUCUCGGUGAUCCCCUCUUGUCCCCUCAAAUAAUUUUAAAGAGGACGGAAAGGUAGGAGGAUCCCUAAUGAUGUGUAUUAUAUAGUGGAAAAUUCAAUCAUAAACUUGAAGGAGGUUGUUUAUAUUUUUUAAAUGGAGCCAUCAUCACUCAUGCAUAUUAUAAAUAUAUUUUGUCUCGGGUUUGGUGGAGAUGAUAUAAUAAAGUUCAGAAGCAGUAUGCUAGCUUUUUAUAUACAAUAUUUGUCUGACCAUGGGGAUUCUUUCAGCAUAAACAGCGAGCGUUUAGUAAACGUAGUAUAUUAAAAUUUAAAGUUUCAGUCUGUACCUUAAUUACAUUUAUAUUUAAAAGAAGAGUGUGGUGGUGGAUCGAUCGAACCUAGAGAAGUUUAUUAAUUCCACAAAAACUAAAGCACAAUCAGACUCUCCACGUACUGUUUGACGAGAUUGAGUUAUUUAUUUUAGUUUAAGAAUUUGCUUGUGUUAGUGUGUUACAGCGCUGCAUGUCACAAAACAUACGGUCUCUCCCAAUAUUAAUAAACUUUUUUAUAAUUUUAAAAGCAGACAGCACACGAUACGUCUUUGUUAUAUAUGCAAGGAGAAGAAAAGAAAAGAAAGAAAUUAAGCAAGUUACAAGUGAUAUAUCAUGUAAUAUUAAUAGGUGCGGUAAUGGCGACCAGCAAGUUGCUGGCAUUGGCUUGUAUACGAAACGAGAGUAGUAGUUAUAGGGACUUGUUGACAUCGACACCCAAGUACCCGAAAGUUGUGUCGGGUCCGGUAAAGUCCUGCAGCAGAGCAAUAUUAUUAUCGGUGAAGGGAAUGACUUGCUCGGCCUGUGCAGUGUCCAUCGAGAAAGCCAUCAAACGCCUUCCUGGAAUACACGACGCCGUCGUUGAUGUCUUGAAUAACAGGGCUCAAGUGUUGGGGAGGCACCCUCCCCAAGAUACCUCGUGAUUAAUGUGCAAGUUUUUUUUUUUUUUUUUUUAAUAUCGUCAAGGAGGAGACAAUUCUUAAGGCAAUUGAGGAUGUUGGAUUUAAAGCAACGCUCGUCCCUGGGGAAAAAAUUGAGAAAUCUACUCAAGUAUGUCGAAUACGCAUUAAUAAACGAGCAUGCACUUCAUGCUCCUCGACUGUUGAAAAAACUUUUCAAGCAAUUCAGGGUGUACAGAAUGCCCAUGUCACCUUAGCUACUGAAGAAGCAGAAGUUCACUACGAUCCGAGAAUUCUGAGCUACAAUCAGCUUUUGAAAGCUAUUGAAGAUACAGGAUUUGAAGCCAUACCAAUCAGCACAGGAGAAGAUAUCGUAAGCAAGAUCCAUCUUCACCUUGAUGGCCUAUAUACUGAUCAUUCAGUGACAAUGAUUGAAAGUUCUCUUCAAGCGCUCCCCGGCGUUCUUGACAUUGACUUGGAUCCUAGCAUACAUAAAAUUUCCAUUUCUUACAAGCCAGCCAUGACAGGACCCAGAAACUUUAUAAAAAUGAUAGAAUCAACUGCUUCUGGGCAUUUUAAGGCCAGAAUAUUUCCUGAAGGUGAAGGAAGAGAAGCACAGAAACAGGCAGAGAUUAAGAAAUACUACAGAUCAUUUCUAUGGAGUUUGGCUUUUACCAUUCCUGUUUUUUUAACCUCCAUGGUCUUCAUGUAUAUCCCAGGUAUCAAGAAUGUACUGGAUACCAAAAUAGUUAAUAUGCUUACUAUUGGAGAGAUUAUAAGGUGGGUGCUAUCAACUCCUGUGCAGUUCAUUGUAGGCAGAAGAUUCUACACCGGUUCUUACAAAGCUCUGCGCAUUGGUUCUCCUAAUAUGGAUGUUUUGAUUGCCCUGGGAACUAAUGCAGCUUACUUUUAUUCGGUUUACUCAGUGUUGAGAGCAGCUCUUUCUCCAUAUUUUAUAGGUAAAGAUUUUUUCGAGACUACUUCAAUGCUUAUAUCCUUUAUUCUGCUUGGAAAUACCUAGAAGUUCUGGCCAAGGGAAAGACAUCUGAGGCUAUUGCCAAGCUUUUGGACUUGGCACCCGAAACAGCGACACUGCUGACUAUGGAUGAGGAAGGCAAUGUGAUAAGCGAAGAAGAAAUUGAUAGUCGAUUGAUACAAAGGAAUGAUGUAAUUAAAAUUAUUCCUGGUGCAAAAGUAGCUUCAGAUGGUUAUGUUUUGUGGGGAAAAAGCUAUGUGAAUGAGAGUAUGAUAACUGGAGAAGCGAGGCCAGUGGCCAAGAGGGAGGGUGAUACAGUAACCGGUGGCACUUUGAAUGAGAAUGGGGUGUUACAUAUUAAGGCAACAAGGGUUGGACCACAGAGUGCUCUUGCUCAAAUUGUUCGACUUGUCGAAUCAGCUCAGAUGGCUAAGGCUCCAGUUCAAAAGUUCGCUGAUCGCGCUUCCAAAUACUUUGUGCCUCUGGUAAUUUUACAACAUAAUUGUUCUAGGUUCUGCAUUUUUCUAUGAAUACGUUGAGGAAUCUAAAGUAAAUUUCCAGUUUUUUAUUAAUGAAUAUCUCUGUUCGUUCUGAGGUCAUCAUCUUGUCAUUUUCAACAUGGCUUGCUUGGUAUUUGGCUGGAAAUUUCCAUGGCUACCCAGAAUCCUGGAUACCAUCUUCAAUGGAUAGCUUUGAGCUUGCACUACAGUUUGGAAUCUCUGUCAUAGUCAUAGCGUGUCCAUGUGCUCUGGGCCUAGCAACUCCGACUGCUGUAAUGGUUGGUACUGGAGUUGGUGCAUCUCAGGGAGUACUGAUUAAAGGGGGACAAGCACUUGAAAGUACCCAUAAGGUUAGCAAUGCCCUUAAUGUUGCUGUUUAAUACUAGUUUAUUCUUAUUUAUUUAUUUAUUCAAAAAGACUUGAAUUGAUAACCAACUGCUCUGUUAAAAAUAAUGUAGGUGAAUUGCAUUGUGUUUGACAAAACAGGAACUAUGACAAUUGGAAAGCCGGUCGUUGUUAGUACAAAACUUUUGAAAAAUAUGGUACUAAGAGACUUCUAUGAACUUGUUGCAGCAACUGAGGUUUUUUUUUUUUUUCGGUUUUUUUUUUCUGUGGAGAUAUUGUUCUUUUAAGAGAGCUGGUCAUAGUCAUUAUUGCUUAUAAUGAAUUGACUAUUGAUACCAUUUGUUGCAAUUCAUCUUCUACGCUAACAGUGAGCAUCCAUUAGCCAAGGCUAUCAUUGAAUAUGCUAAUAAGUUUAGAGAAGAUGAAGAGAAUCAUAUGUGGCCAGAAGCUCAAGAUUUUGUCUCCAUAACUGGCCAUGGAGUGAAAGCCAUCGUGCGAAACAAGGAGAUAAUGGUCGGAAAUAAGAGCUUGAUGUUGGAUAAUAACAUUGACAUACCACCUGAUACUGAAGAAAUGCUAACCGAAACUGAAGGAAUGGCUCAAACUGAGAUCCUAGUAUCUGUAGACGGGGAAUUGACUGGAGUUUUAUCCAUAUCUGAUCCAUUGAAACCAGGUGCUCAUGGGGUCAUUUCCAUUCUAAAGUCAAUGCAAAUAAGGAGCAUCUUGGUGACAGGUGACAAUUGGGGAACUGCCAAAUCUAUUGCAAGCGAAGUUGGAAUUGAAACUGUUAUAGCUGAAGCCAAAC